This is a non-coding RNA of Salmo salar (Atlantic salmon), 54 nucleotides long. Lineage: Eukaryota; Metazoa; Chordata; Actinopteri; Salmoniformes; Salmonidae. The record is from Rfam.
UGCAUUCACCAUUGUAAGUCGCUCUGGCUAAGAGCGUCUGCUAAAUGACUAAUA